CCCAGCAGCAGCUGUUCCAAAGACCCAACGCCCUGGCGGUGCAGCAGCUGACGGCAGCACAGCAGCAGCAAUACGCCCUGGCUGCUGCCCACCAGCCACACAUAGGUUUAGCUCCUGCUGCCUUUGUUCCCAACCCCUACAUCAUCAGCGCGGCUCCCCCGGGGACGGAUCCGUACGCGGCCGGACUGGCGGCAGCUGCCACCUUAGGCCCGGCUGUUGUCCCUCACCAGUACUAUG
Molecule: RNA transcript, 237 nt
Organism: Manacus vitellinus (golden-collared manakin)
Lineage: Eukaryota; Metazoa; Chordata; Aves; Passeriformes; Pipridae
Exons: 4
Source: RefSeq, a predicted model, not a curated record